GUGCUUGCUUCGACAGCAUAUAUACUAAAAUUAUAGUGAUACAGAGAAGAUUGGCAUGGCUCCUGCACAAGGAUGAUGCACAAUUUCAUGAACCAUUUCAUUUUUAA
This 107-nucleotide small nuclear RNA is filed under the name Salvator merianae (Argentine black and white tegu). Lineage: Eukaryota; Metazoa; Chordata; Lepidosauria; Squamata; Teiidae. The record is from RNAcentral.